GGCAAAAUGGAACUGCAGCCAAAAUCAGUGAUCUUAACCACCAUUCUACUGUCUACCACACAGUUGGUGGAUUUCAGACGGCCGUGGACUUCGGUCUUACUGGAGUGCAGGUCUCUUACCUUAGCAAUGUCAUACAAGACCGAGAUCUUAAACUCCCAAUCCAUGAAUGUACCAUCAGGGUAGGAGAUGGUGUCAUUUAAAACUUCCUGAACAGCAGAAAAAGAAAAGGAAGAAACUGUUGGAAGGAAGGAUCCUGUGGAGAUUGUUAUAGGCUAAUAAUGAUCUUCUAAUCAUGAGGCCUGGGGCUCAGAAGCAAACUGAAAUGCCAUUGUCCUGUUUUUCCUGAACGUGUAUUUCUUUCCUUUCCUAUGAAACAUCAGGUGGCUGUCGCCAUAAUAAAAUGAGGAGGAGAUA
Herpailurus yagouaroundi (jaguarundi) is the source of this 414-nucleotide long non-coding RNA. RefSeq lists it as uncharacterized. The record is from RefSeq and is a predicted model, not a curated record. The transcript is spliced from 2 exons. Lineage: Eukaryota; Metazoa; Chordata; Mammalia; Carnivora; Felidae.